This is a non-coding RNA of Chlorocebus sabaeus (green monkey), 1807 nucleotides long. The record is from RefSeq and is a predicted model, not a curated record. NCBI's taxonomy places the organism in Eukaryota, Metazoa, Chordata, Mammalia, Primates, Cercopithecidae.
GGAGAGCAGACACCGUCCACUGGGGCUCACAGUGCUAUCCGGGUGAGGACCUCCAUGGAGAGCUCCUCUUUGCCAAAGAAAAGCAAAGUUGCAUUAGGUCUGUGAGCAGGCAGGGCCGCCUCUUCCCGGCUUCCCACCCACCACGGAGGCUUCAAGUCCCUGGGACAGAGGUGGGGGACUCCAGCGCCCCUGGAGGAAGGGAGAUAGAGGUGGGGGCGCGUCCAGGGCCUGAUUCGGGGGCACGGUGGUCUGUGCAACCGAGCCCCUGCCCUGGGUUCCACUAGCACCUGCUCCUUUCCCCAGGUUGUAGAGACCACCAGGGGAGGUGCCAGGCGUGCAGGCUGCCACGGGAGGGGUGGGGAGGUGGGGAGUCGCUGCGGUGGGAGGGGGGGACCUAGGCCAGCCAGCUGAGGAUGUGUUGCUGCACUCCCGGGAGGGCAGUAUAUGUGGGUGAGGGUCCCCAUACAGGGUGGCGCCCAGAAGCCUCCCUUCCAGAAUCGUCUCUGGUCUACCUUGAAGUCCCCAGGAAAAUGCCCUUGUGCUCCGCAGGUGUGAGCCACUAGGCCUGACUGGACGCCAGGACUGGGCUUUCAGAGAGGGAGGUGUCAAGUGGUUUGAGUGUUGCCAGGUAUUAAUUAAGCGCUUGCUGUGUGCCAGGCACUUUCCCACACAGGGCGGAGCCGGACCACCCUCACAGCCCCUGUCCCAUAGGCGCUGGCCUUGUGGAGGGAGGCGGGCAGCAGGUAGCCCCGAAAGCACCUCCCAGAGGCGGGGACUUCAGGAAGGAUGGUCUGCGACAGGUGCACGCUCAGAUCACGGAUGUGUCGGGAACAGCUGUGACUCCUGCUGCUCAGCGUCUGUCACUCCAGGCUGGGAGUGGGUCCCCAAGCUUCCGGCUGGGCCCAUCCGUCUCCCCUCUCAGUGGUGGGUGGGGGGAGCGCCAACAGCACGAUUUGCUCUCCGCACUUCUCAUCUGACAGUGGGCAGAGGGUCCUUCUCCAGCCCUAAAACAUCCCCAGGCAGGAGCCCUGGGGCUCCAAGCAGCCAGGGAGAGGUGAGUACCAAGGACCUCCCUACGGGCGUCAUCUCCUGCCGAGGGAGGCCACGCCUAGGGGUGGUGUCUGUGACUUGGAGUCAACACUUUCACUGGUGGCAGUAAAUGCUGUCCCUAACCCUGCAGUAUAGAUGUGGGUUUCUGUGCCCUGUACACGAGGGUGCUAUCUGACACCAGACACCCAGACUACAGAUUGCAGCCCCAUUCCUGGUCCUCGCGCCACUGAACCCCAGACCCCAGCCUCAUUCUAGGCCCUCAUCCCCUAGAUCCAGGGACCCCAGCCCCAUUUCAGCCCUUGGGCCCUUGUAGGAUGCCAGGCCCUGGCUCCCCUGGGCCCCAGCCCCCAGCCCAUCCCAGGCCCAGGCACCAGGGGGGCCGAGGUCCUCUGAGAAGGGACACGGGGCCUGGGGGGGCUCUCUCAGCCCAUCAGCAGGAGAGGACUGAUUCCAGAAAAAUCAGCCUUUGUGCCCACUUAGACUGCCAAGACCUGUGUCCGUCCUUCCACACUCAACCUUCAGAUUUCAUGAGGCUCCUUGCCCGGAAUGUCCACGUUUGAAACCUCCCAACACCGAGCCCCAUUUCAAGUAUAACCGGGAGGGAAAAUGGUGCUUGAAAUAAGCAUGCUGCAAAGGAAAACCUGCUUUCUCGAAAUGGGCUCUGGCUGCUCAGGUCCUGACCUCCCCGGCCAGGAUGGAACGUUCCAGAGACCCAUUAGUGCCAAAGGCAAAUUAAAACACACCCUGUAAAAAUGUC